GGAAAACACAAUUUUUAAAAAUGUAUACCUAUCGAUGCAGUAAAAGGCUACAAGUUACCAUGAAAAUUUUUUAAAUGGUUAUAUUUCUGUAAGGUAGGAUCACAAGUAACCUUGUCUUUAGAUGUCUGUGCACUGUAUGGCAUACCAUGAGCACAUGUUACCACUAUAAUCCAAAAAAGAGGACAAUAAAAGUAACGCAAAUAUAAGAUGUGCCUUUAAAAUCAUUAUUCUAAAUCCAAAAGCUAACUAAAUGAGCAAAACACGGGAUUCUGAAGCCCAUUUGAAACAUUUUUUCCAUGAGAAUGCCAAGUCUGGCUAAUCCAAAACAUUUAUAAGGGACUUACUGUAACCACUUCAGAGCUGAAGAAAUACACAAGGCAACCAGGAGGGAUAAAGAGAUCCAAGUGUUUAUGAUGUAACAGCAAACAAACAACUUCCAUAGUUUCAUAAAGAAACCACUGAUUCUGAUUUGCAUGUAUUCUUUAAGUAUGGAGAUUCCAAAUGAAGAAUACAAUGCUUUUUCUAACUUCUUUUCCUCAUUUAAUCAGUGUAUCUGAUCAGCAAGGAGACAGAAAUGCAGUGCAGUAGACCAUGAGAAUCUGCCACCCCUCAAAGAUUUUAAUUCUCUUCUGACUGUGCUUCUCAAUUCCCGGAGCUGAGCAUCAGCUCACUUCAAAAUUCACUUUCACCAGCAUGUGAUCUUCUAACACACAUGGCCAAGGCUUGCCUCACACCGUCCUCUUCCUCACAGAUGAAUGCAGAAAAAGGAGAAAGAGGAGAAGACAGGGGGAAGAGAAGGAGAAGAAAUGAUGACUGGACAAAGGAAUGGCCAGAUGAGCAGAUACAUAGUGAGGCCAAUAUAUCAUUGUCAAAUCAAAGUGACAGGCAGAGUCUUGCGGUGGCACCUCGUUUAUCCAGCAUCAUCAGGAAAGGAGCUGGUCCAGAGAGCGAAACCUUGGCUGUCAGAUCCAACACAGCACGGAGGGAACAGAGAGGCUAAACAACGGAGCACAUUGAGCUGGCGUCUCACAUACUCUCUGGUAAAACGCAUUUUGGCCACAGUCAUUAAAAUAGAGACAGUGAUACUGUCAUCGUGAUGUAACGGGACAGAUGGCAGCUACACUUGUGGUGAACGGAGCAUAAUGUGUAAAUUUGUCGAAUCACUAAAUUGUACACCUGAAACUCAUGUAACGUUGGGUAUCAAUUAU
This 1208-nucleotide long non-coding RNA is filed under the name Mustela putorius furo (domestic ferret). RNAcentral describes it as "lncRNA (ENSMPUG00000029302.1)". Lineage: Eukaryota; Metazoa; Chordata; Mammalia; Carnivora; Mustelidae. The record is from RNAcentral.